GUGCUCAGUUUGGCAGCACAUUUACUAGAAUUGGAACGAUACAGAGAAGAUUAGCAUGG
This is a small nuclear RNA of Loxodonta africana (African savanna elephant), 59 nucleotides long. NCBI's taxonomy places the organism in Eukaryota, Metazoa, Chordata, Mammalia, Proboscidea, Elephantidae. The record is from Ensembl.